AGAACAGCCCCUCCUCCGGAAUCACAGGACCCCUGACUUGGCAAAUUUAUCCAAGGGCACCCUGACUCCUCUGCCACGUGGAUUGUUGGUUCCAGCGAUGAGCAGCCCAAUGAACAGUGAUGUCAGACUGUUUGGGUCCAGAUCAUUCCUGAGCCAUGAAACAGUUAAGAAAUAUCCUGCCCCACUGGCUGCCGUGCUCAUAAAGGCAAACCAACGUGUACUUCCUUGUGGCUCCAAGACGCGCUGGCUCACUUAUUUGCUCACACCCAGCACAUCCAGCAGGCAGAGAAGGCAGCAGCAGGCAGGACCGCCACCCUCCCAUGCAAAUCACCCCCAGGAGUGCAGCUGGGCUCCUCCCGCUCCUCCUGGGCAAUGCUCCUGGGGCGUCUGUGGGGAAGAUGCCAUCCCGGGCGCUGUGCACUCUUCCUCAUCCUUGCCAUCCUGCUCGACACAGUCGGCCUGGUCCUUUUGCUUCUGGGGAUCUUGGCCUCCCUGAGUUACUGGGACUUCCUUGUCUACACAGGCGCCCUGAUCCUGGCUUUCAGCCUUCUGCUCUGGAUCAUCUGGUAUUCCUGCAACAUUGAGGUGUGCCCGGAGAAACUGGACCUGUAGUUUGGCCAUGGGAAGAGGAAGAGAGAUGCAGGUGCUGUAUGCAGACAUGUCUGUGAACCUCGGGCUCCUGGGCACCAGCACAUUGCAGCUUCUACCUAGCAAGCCCCGCCAGGACCAGGUCCCAGCUGAUGAAGGAGAAUCAAUUCAAGGAGAUGCGCUCUCUUUAUAGCACACCCUUUAACAGCAUCCAGGAGGAACAAGAAGCUGCAAUGCGGAGGCUUUCAAAGUGUUCACAAGGAUGCCCAAGAAUGGUCGUGUUGCCAGGUUUCUGGCAGGUUCCAGGCUCCAUCACGAGCCCAGCAUCCCUGCACCAAAUCUGACAUCGUUGCUGCUGUCCCAGCUGUCUAUGAAGAGCCUGAGUAGCUAUCAAGUUGUUAGGACAGCAGCUCUGCAGGGGGCUUAGACACCAAAAGAGAAGUCUCAUCCUCUGCAGUUCUUGUCAAUGUCCUGAUGUCAGUGUCAAAACGCUGAGAACCAAGCACAAGCACCAAAGUCCAAAUGGGAUCUCCUGCGAGCACAUAUCAAGCAGUAUUGUUGCUGUUUCUCCUCAUUGGCUCUUUGAACAGACUGUGUGGGCUCCUGGAAGCCUCCACUGUAUCUAGCCUUUGAUACUGUCCAGUUGGCACAUGGUGACAUAUUCCAACGUGUUGAUUGCAAAUGUGAAUGUACAGCCAAUGCUGUGUGUGGGAGGACUCUCUCCUCCUCAGUGGGGGCCCCACUUGUUUGCACAGCCUGGCCAUGCAGUGGCUCAUAUUGAGCUUUUAACCAACUGAAACCUCCUGCACGUUUUUCUGACAAGCCGGCAAGGCCUCUGCUAUGCUGUCCUUGUGUCAUUCAUUUUAACAGUCCUUAAGGGCAGGAUUGUUUUUAUCUUAAGUUACGUCUGGCCAAGUACAGCCCAAGGACAGCAACUCUGAGGGUCAAGCCUGAUAGGCUAACCAGAUAGAUACGCUCGGCUUCGUCAUCCACCGGAGCCUUACUGCCUCACUAAUUUAUAUUUCCCCUGGUCUAAUGUUGUAUUUUUUUAUUUAUAUUUCAACCUUAGAGUAUAUGUGUGUCUUAUAAGCUGCCUCUGAUCUUUCAUGGUAUGAGGUGGUUACCUAAAUAAAGAAGUAGAUUUGGUCUUUGUUUUCAUGUAACAGGACAUA
Molecule: long non-coding RNA, 1760 nt
Organism: Sapajus apella (tufted capuchin)
Lineage: Eukaryota; Metazoa; Chordata; Mammalia; Primates; Cebidae
Exons: 2
Source: RefSeq, a predicted model, not a curated record